GACGAACGCUGGCGGCGUGCUUAACACAUGCAAGUCGAACGGAAAGGCCCUGCUUUUGUGGGGUGCUCGAGUGGCGAACGGGUGAGUAACACGUGAGUAACCUGCCCUUGACUUUGGGAUAACUUCAGGAAACUGGGGCUAAUACCGUAUAGGAGCUCCUGCUGCAUGGUGGGGGUUGGAAAGUUUCGGCGGUUGGGGAUGGACUCGCGGCUUAUCAGCUUGUUGGUGGGGUAGUGGCUUACCAAGGCUUUGACGGGUAGCCGGCAUGAGAGGGUGACCGGGCACCUUGGGACUGAGAUACGGACCAGACUCCUACGGGAGGCAGCAGUGGGGAAUAUUGCACAGUGGGCGGAAGCCUGAUGAAGAGACGCCGCGUGCGGGAUGACGGCCUUCGGGUUGUAAACCGCUUUAGCCUGUGACGAAGCGUGAGUGACGGUAAUGGGUAAAGAAGCACCGGCUAACUACGUG
RNAcentral lists this ribosomal RNA (468 nucleotides) under uncultured bacterium. RNAcentral's name for it is "partial 16S ribosomal RNA". It matches the Rfam family "Bacterial small subunit ribosomal RNA", at positions 28 to 507 of the family's 1533-position model. The record is from RNAcentral.